ACUUAUUAUAUUCUGGUGUAUAUGUCAUGUUUCUGACGUCUGCUCCCAUUACUACUAAAGUGGAACUUCAAAAAUCUGCUAUGCGCACUCUCCUUCUCCCUCCCUCCCCCAACCCCCAUCAUAGUGUGCCGUCUCUCCCGUCAACUUUCUUUUUAAUUUCCCCCCACUAAGAUGGGUCAGUGACCCAUACCACGACGGCCACUCCAAAAAGGAUACCGAAGCCCAAGUAGUCC
Molecule: non-coding RNA, 233 nt
Organism: Pelobates cultripes (western spadefoot toad)
Lineage: Eukaryota; Metazoa; Chordata; Amphibia; Anura; Pelobatidae
Source: the annotation of a GenBank genome assembly